UGGGGAAUAUUGCACAAUGGGCGCAAGCCUGAUGCAGCCAUGCCGCGUGUGUGAAGAAGGCCUUCGGGUUGUAAAGCACUUUCAGCGGGGAGGAAGGCGUUAAGGUUAAUAACCUUGGCGAUUGACGUUACCCGCAGAAGAAGCACCGGCUAACUCCGUGCCAGCAGCCGCGGUAAUACGGAGGGUGCAAGCGUUAAUCGGAAUUACUGGGCGUAAAGCGCACGCAGGCGGUUUGUUAAGUCAGAUGUGAAAUCCCCGGGCUCAACCUGGGAACUGCAUCUGAUACUGGCAAGCUUGAGGCUCGUAGAGGGGGGUAGGAUUCCAGGUGUAGCGGUGAAAUGCGUAGAGAUCUGGAGGGAUACCGGUGGCGAAGGCGGCCCCCUGGACGAAGACUGACGCUCAGGUGCGAAAGCGUGGGGAGCAAACAGG
RNAcentral lists this ribosomal RNA (429 nucleotides) under Chloroflexota bacterium. Its description in RNAcentral is "Chloroflexi bacterium partial 16S ribosomal RNA". It matches the Rfam family "Bacterial small subunit ribosomal RNA", at positions 355 to 776 of the family's 1533-position model. Lineage: Bacteria; Bacillati; Chloroflexota. The record is from RNAcentral.